GAAGCCAAAGAACAAAGGGGGAAAGAAUAGAAAAACUCUAAGGAGGAAAAAUUCAAAAGAAAUUCAUUGGAUUUCCUAAAAACGAAGCGAUCGGAGGUAAUAUUUCGCGAUUUAGCUUAAGAUUUAUCUUACCCAUGCUUUCUUUUUCAUUUUCUAUGGUUGAAACUCAAGUUUUCAUGAUGGAAGCAUGCUGGCCGAAUUAGGAGGGGAAGGUUUUGAUGAUGGUUGUUGAUAGAUUUCAGGCUAUCUAGGUGUUUUUAGUGUUUUGUGAUAUUUGGUAUGAAAAACAAGUAAGAAAAUAACAUGUUCUUCAUCAAACCCUAUUUGGCCGAAUUCUAUAGGGAAUAUUUUGAAGAUGAAUUUUGUCAUAUUUCAUGUUAUCUAGCUCGUAUUUGAUGAUUCGUGAUGUCGGAUAUCAAAAACGGUUAUCGAAAAGUAUAAUUCCUUUAGAAAACGACUUGAACGAUAAUGAGAAAAUUAUAGUAAAUGGACUUAGAAUUGAUUUCUAAUGAUAUAUACGGACUUAUUGGACUGUGUUGACACUGAUUAGCACGUUAGUUCGAAAUCGGAAUAAGUUUCGGAUGUGAUAAUUUAAGUCACAAUCAAGUUUAUUGAAGUACUUUGGGUGUAUUUGAAGUAUCGAAAGUGCAAUGAAUCUAUUUGGAGUUGAAUCAAAUGUUUUGGCUAAUUAAAUAGUGUAUAGUGCGAGUUAGGUCGAAUACCAUUUCAGACCAAUAACAAUUGAACCUACGUAG
This 755-nucleotide long non-coding RNA is filed under the name Theobroma cacao (cacao). Its description in RNAcentral is "long non-coding RNA (TCAC_LNC001591)". The record is from RNAcentral. Lineage: Eukaryota; Viridiplantae; Streptophyta; Magnoliopsida; Malvales; Malvaceae.